UCUCCUCAGGUUUCUCUUCAAGAGCCUCCACUGGUUUUACUUCAGGAGCCUCCACAGGUUUCUCUUCAGGAGCCUCCACAGGUUUCACCUCAGGAGCCUCCACAGGUUUUGCCUCAGGAGCCUCCACAAGUUUUGCCUCAGGAGCCUCCACAGAU
Molecule: long non-coding RNA, 155 nt
Organism: Octopus sinensis (East Asian common octopus)
Lineage: Eukaryota; Metazoa; Mollusca; Cephalopoda; Octopoda; Octopodidae
Exons: 3
Source: RefSeq, a predicted model, not a curated record